AUUGUCCAGAGCGUGACAUAUGGAGCUUGUAAGACAGACACUUAGAAUCUUGCAUCGUUGCGCUGGCGAGGACACGUAUCUCACUGCACGGCACUUUUGCUCCGACGUAGCCAUGACAAAACUCCAAAGGACACUAGUGAUUGCUGUUGUGGGGACAUUAUUUGUAAUAGAAAGCUCUGAGCAAGCGAUGGUAUUUGACAACAGAGUUUGGAAGGAUGGGAAGUGCUACUUCAGGGGAGGAGUAUAUGAAGUUGGUGAGAGGAUGUACGAGAAAAAAGAAUGCAUAGAAUGGUCUUGUCGGCGAAUCAACAGCACUUAUGGCUGGAUGGUGGGUGCCGGGUGCGGAAAGGUAGACGCAGCACCACCGUGCAAAGUGAUACCUACGAGGGAAGGUAUCAACCCGGAAUGCUGUGAGAAAAUGUGGUGCCCAAACAGAGUAAAACGCGUGUAGACAUUUGGCACUCGAAUAAAGAAAAGU
This is a long non-coding RNA of Dermacentor silvarum, 478 nucleotides long. RefSeq lists it as uncharacterized. The record is from RefSeq and is a predicted model, not a curated record. The transcript has 3 exons. Lineage: Eukaryota; Metazoa; Arthropoda; Arachnida; Ixodida; Ixodidae.